Molecule: long non-coding RNA, 1117 nt
Organism: Sebastes umbrosus (honeycomb rockfish)
Lineage: Eukaryota; Metazoa; Chordata; Actinopteri; Perciformes; Sebastidae
Exons: 7
Source: RefSeq, a predicted model, not a curated record
UCAUGCUGCUGUAACGACUCUCAAUCAGUCAGGUGUGAUGGGAGGGGGUCGCCAGGCAACAGACCUGUAACGUUAGCAACCAGGAGAGUUAGUUAGCUAGUUAAGUUUACUAGUGUUGCUGGUGUUAUCAGCUAACGUCCUUUAGCAACUAAUUAGGGUUGUCUACAUCUCCAUCUAUGUGUCUCCCUCUUCAGAAACCCGAGAAAAGGUGUUAAGGAUGAGGACCAAUAAGGAGCAGGACUGAGACCUGUCCUGAGACCAGGACCUGUUUCAACAAGGUUCACUCCCCACCUGAUUAAGAAACGGCGGACGGAGAGACGGACGGAGAGGUGCCCUCUUCAUGAUGUAUCUGGACGUGGCGCCGACAGCUCUGAUGACUGAUGGGAAGAGACUGUGGAGAGGUGCUGCGCUGCUUACCUGAAAACUGCUACUGCUGCUACUUCUUCAAGACGGCUGCUCCGGAGGGAAAUCCUGCUCCUCUGGAGGUGGCUCGGGUCCAACUCAAGGAUGUGUUCCCAGCUGAUACUCCUCGGAGCACUGCUUCACUUCAGCAAGGUGACUUGUUGCCAGAAGAGACAACGGUGGAAACGUGAGUGAGAGUUGGAGAGAGGAGUGGCACGGGACAUCGGCUUUGUCUCCGAGCGAGACACGCCACAACAACGGACCGGAUCAAGCGAAAGAUGAUGCACAGAUUUCUGGAUGUUCCAGUUGUGGUUCUGGAGGGCGGCUUGGCACUCCUCUAUCGUGACACCGUGAACUGCCUCCUGCACCUGGAUCACACAACAUCGACAACAGUCUCGUCCCGGUAGCUGCCCGAGCCGAGCACCACUGAGGUCAACACCAAGGACAUCGGGAGGAUCCAUGGGAUUACCGAGGUACAAACUGGAGGGAAGAGAGCGCCUGACUUAAUUACAGUAAAUGUCAAUAUACUAAAUCUACCUGACCUUGGGUGUUAUAAUGUUGCAAUAAAUUGGACAUUUGCAAUAUUGUGCUACUGCCAUCUAUUGGUGAAAGUUCAUUAUUACAACUCAGCAAAAAUGUAUCAGAUAGUCUUUCAACACCAACUUUCAUCAUGGGGUAUAAUUAUAAUAAAUAUUUAUAAAGUGAUGAAGACACA